CCCUUGGAUGUUCUGGGCUGCACGCGUGCUACACUGAUAUUGCCAAUAUGUCAUUCUUAUCCGAAAUGGAUUGGGUAAUCAAGUAAUGAAAUUUCAUGCUUGGAAUCGGUAAUUGCAAUUUUAUCGUGAACGAGGAAUUCCUAGUAAGCACUAGUCAUCAGCUAAUGUUGAUUAUGUCCCUGCCCUUUGUACACACCGCCCGUCGCUACUACUGAUUGGGUGUUCAAGUGAGAUGCUUAGACCCUUGUUGCAUGGUUCAUUAUUGUGCUCCGAAAGGAAAAAGUUUCAAGCUUGAGUGUCUAGAGGAAGUAAAAGUCGUAACA
RNAcentral lists this ribosomal RNA (323 nucleotides) under uncultured eukaryote. RNAcentral's name for it is "partial 18S ribosomal RNA". It matches the Rfam family "Eukaryotic small subunit ribosomal RNA", at positions 1470 to 1796 of the family's 1831-position model. The record is from RNAcentral.